AUUCCAAUAAAAUAUGGUUUUCAUAUAAUAGCAAGAAUAGGGCUUGCGAGUUUCUACCGGUUUACCGUAAAUAAACCGACUAUGAAAAUAACUGAUCUGAAU
Molecule: non-coding RNA, 102 nt
Filed under: Virgibacillus pantothenticus
Lineage: Bacteria; Bacillati; Bacillota; Bacilli; Caryophanales; Bacillaceae
Description: Guanine sequence
Rfam family: Purine riboswitch aptamer
About the family: Riboswitches are metabolite binding domains within certain messenger RNAs that serve as precision sensors for their corresponding targets.
Source: Rfam by way of RNAcentral